GGGGAUAAUCCUUAGAGUCCCCAUAGGGCGGUGUGUUAAUAGCCAUGUCUUUGGCCAGGCCUGGCGGUUAGUGAAUC
Molecule: non-coding RNA, 77 nt
Submitted as: unclassified sequences
Source: Rfam